AUUGAACGCUGGCGGCAGGCCUAACACAUGCAAGUCGAGCGGAUGAAGGGAGCUUGCUCCUGGAUUCAGCGGCGGACGGGUGAGUAAUGCCUAGGAAUCUGCCUGGUAGUGGGGGAUAACGUCCGGAAACGGGCGCUAAUACCGCAUACGUCCUGAGGGAGAAAGUGGGGGAUCUUCGGACCUCACGCUAUCAGAUGAGCCUAGGUCGGAUUAGCUAGUUGGUGGGGUAAAGGCCUACCAAGGCGACGAUCCGUAACUGGUCUGAGAGGAUGAUCAGUCACCCUGGAACUGGAACACGGUCAAGACUACUACGGGAGGCAGCAGUGGGGAAUAUUGGACAAUGGGGGAAAGCCUGAUCCAGCCAUGCCGCGUGUGUGAAGAAGGUCUUCGGAUUGUAAAGAACUUUAAGUUGGGAGGAAGGGCAGUAAGUUAAUACCUUGCUGUUUUGACGUUACCAACAGAAUAAGCACCGGCUAACUUCGUG
This 484-nucleotide ribosomal RNA is filed under the name uncultured bacterium. Its description in RNAcentral is "partial 16S ribosomal RNA". It matches the Rfam family "Bacterial small subunit ribosomal RNA", at positions 30 to 507 of the family's 1533-position model. The record is from RNAcentral.